GGGACGGGCCUUUCAGGCAUCCUCUCCUAAAACUUUCACGGGCCGGCCCUUCGGGGCUGGCCCUUUUUUUGGGUCGGC
This is a small RNA of Sphingomonas taxi, 78 nucleotides long. It matches the Rfam family "Makes More Granules Regulator RNA (mmgR)". From Rfam's summary of the family: SuhB later renamed mmgR (makes more granules regulator) was a putative non-coding RNA found multiple times in the Agrobacterium tumefaciens genome and related alpha-proteobacteria. Other non-coding RNAs uncovered in the same analysis include: speF, ybhL, metA, and serC. The record is from Rfam. Lineage: Bacteria; Pseudomonadati; Pseudomonadota; Alphaproteobacteria; Sphingomonadales; Sphingomonadaceae.